RNAcentral lists this ribosomal RNA (492 nucleotides) under uncultured bacterium. RNAcentral's name for it is "partial 16S ribosomal RNA". It matches the Rfam family "Bacterial small subunit ribosomal RNA", at positions 29 to 507 of the family's 1533-position model. The record is from RNAcentral.
AGUGAACGCUGGCGGUAGGCCUAACACAUGCAAGUCGAACGGCAGCACAGUAAGAGCUUGCUCUUACGGGUGGCGGGUGGCGGACGGGUGAGGAAUGCAUCGGAAUCUACUUUUUCGUGGGGGAUAACGUAGGGAAACUUACGCUAAUACCGCAUACGACCUACGGGUGAAAGCAGGGGAUCUUCGGACCUUGCGCGAUUGAAUGAGCCGAUGUCGGAUUAGCUAGUUGGCGGGGUAAAGGCCCACCAAGGCGACGAUCCGUAGCUGGUCUGAGAGGAUGAUCAGCCACACUGGAACUGAGACACGGUCCAGACUCCUACGGGAGGCAGCAGUGGGGAAUAUUGGACAAUGGGCGCAAGCCUGAUCCAGCCAUACCGCGUGGGUGAAGAAGGCCUUCGGGUUGUAAAGCCCUUUUGUUGGGAAAGAAAAGCAGCAGGUUAAUACCCCGCUGUUCUGACGGUACCCAAAGAAUAAGCACCGGCUAACUUCGUG